GGAUGGUAGCUCAGUGGUAGAGCGCUUGCCUUGCACGCGGGGAGGCCCUGGGUUCAAUCCUCAGCACCA
Molecule: transfer RNA, 69 nt
Filed under: Marmota monax (woodchuck)
Lineage: Eukaryota; Metazoa; Chordata; Mammalia; Rodentia; Sciuridae
Description: tRNA.Ala
Rfam family: tRNA (bases 6-65)
About the family: Transfer RNA (tRNA) molecules are approximately 80 nucleotides in length. Their secondary structure includes four short double-helical elements and three loops (D, anti-codon, and T loops).
Source: RNAcentral